Molecule: microRNA, 22 nt
Filed under: Glycine max (soybean)
Lineage: Eukaryota; Viridiplantae; Streptophyta; Magnoliopsida; Fabales; Fabaceae
Description: gma-miR9738
Source: miRBase by way of RNAcentral
UGAAACAUGAUGUGGACUCUUC